CAAACACGCUCCCACCCAACUAACUUGGGGUGGGACGCGGCAUGUGGCUCCUCGUCCCGCAAGGGGCGGUGGGCCAAAGAUCCGGCUGCCGGCCUAUCGUGCCGGACACAGCGCGUGGUAGGCGACCUCGCUUUACUAAACGCAGUGCCUCUGGCGCGUAGCCGACGCGAUGGCCCCAAUGGACCCUUUUAACGGAGUGCAUGACGCUUCGA
RNAcentral lists this unclassified non-coding RNA (212 nucleotides) under Lolium remotum. RNAcentral's name for it is "partial internal transcribed spacer 2". The record is from RNAcentral. Lineage: Eukaryota; Viridiplantae; Streptophyta; Magnoliopsida; Poales; Poaceae.